GAUUGUUCACCCACCAAUAGGGAACGUGAGCUGGGUUUAGACCAUCGUGAGACAGGUUAGUUUUACCGUACUGAUUACAGUGUCGUAAUAGUAAUUCAACCUACUACAAAAGGAACCAUUGAUUCACAUAAUUGGUCAUCGCGUUUGGUUGAAAAGCCAGUGGCGUGAAGCUACCAUGCACUGGAUUAUGACUGAACGCCUCUAAGUUAGAAUCUGGGCUAGAAGCGAUGCAUACGCCUAUCGCCUGCUUGCCGAUCCGCAGUAGGGGUCGUCUGGCCCCCAAAGGCACGUGUCGUUGGUGAAGCCUACGCAGGAAAUGAGCCGCACAGACUGCCUUGAAAUACAAUUCCUAUCUUGAGCGGCGGGUAGAAUCCUUUGCAGAUGACUUAAAUACACAAUGGGGUAUUGUAUGUGGCAGAGUGGCCUUGUUGCCACAAUCCACUAAGAU
RNAcentral lists this ribosomal RNA (448 nucleotides) under Camellia pachyandra. Its description in RNAcentral is "partial large subunit ribosomal RNA". It matches the Rfam family "Eukaryotic large subunit ribosomal RNA", at positions 2927 to 3377 of the family's 3401-position model. Lineage: Eukaryota; Viridiplantae; Streptophyta; Magnoliopsida; Ericales; Theaceae. The record is from RNAcentral.